RNAcentral lists this ribosomal RNA (1399 nucleotides) under uncultured bacterium. RNAcentral's name for it is "partial 16S ribosomal RNA". It matches the Rfam family "Bacterial small subunit ribosomal RNA". The record is from RNAcentral.
GAGUUUGAUCCUGGCUCAGGAUGAACGCUAGCGAUAGGCCUUACACAUGCAAGUCGAGGGGCAGCGCGGGAAAGUAGCAAUACCUUCUUGGCGGCGACCGGCGGAUGGGUGAGUAACGCGUAUGCAACCUACCUACUACUUUGGGAUAGCUCGUUGAAAGACGAAUUAAUACCUUAUAAUACAGGGACUCCGCAUGGAGAUAUUUGUUAAAGAUUCAUUGGUAGUAGAUGGGCAUGCGUUCCAUUAGUUAGUUGGUAAGGUAAAGGCUUACCAAGACAAUGAUGCGUAGCUGGACUGAGAGGUUGAACAGCCACACUGGGACUGAGAACGGCCCAGACUCCUACGGGAGGCAGCAGUAGAGAAUCUUCGGCAAUGGGGGGAACCCUGAACGAGCAAUGCCGCGUGAGUGAUGACAGUCUUAUGGAUUGUAAAACUCUGUUGUUUGGAAAGAACAGUAAGAAUAGGAAAUGAUUCUUACCUGACGGUACCAUUCAAGAAAGCACCGGCUAACUACGUGCCAGCAGCCGCGGUAAUACGUAGGGUGCAAGCGUUAUCCGGAUUUAUUGGGCGUAAAGCGUCCGCAGCCGGUUUAUUAAGUCUAAAAUCAAAGCCUGAGGCUCAACCUCAGCACGUUUUAGAAACUGAUAGGCUUGAGUGUGGUAGAGGCAAGUGGAAUUUCUAGUGUAGCGGUAAAAUGUGUAGAUAUUAGAAGGAACACCAGUGGCGAAGGCGACUUGCUGGGCCAUCACUGACGGUCAUGGACGAAAGCGUGGGGAGCAAACAGGAUUAGAUACCCUGGUAGUCCACGCCGUAAACGAUGAGUGCUAAGUAUCGGUAGAUUCGGUGCCUAAGCUAACGCAGUAAGCACUCCGCCUGGGGAGUACGGUCGCAAGACUGAAACUCAAAGGAAUUGACGGGGACUCGCACAAGCGGUGGAGCAUGCGGUUUAAUUCGAUGAUACGCGAGGAACCUUACCUGGGUUUAAAUGGGGAGUGACAGGCUUGGAAACAGGCUCUUCUUCGGACACUCUUCAAGGUGCUGCAUGGUUGUCGUCAGCUCGUGCCGUGAGGUGUCGGGUUAAGUCCCAUAACGAGCGCAACCCCUAUCGAUAGUUACCAGCACGUUACGGUGGGGACUCUAUCGAGACUGCCGGUGUAAACCGUGAGGAGGGUGGGGAGGACGUCAAAUCAGCACGGCCCUUACAUCCAGGGCUACACACGUACUACAAUGGCAUAUACAAAGGGCAGCUACACAGCGAUGUGAUGCGAAUCUCAUAAAGUAUGUCUCAGUUCGGAUUGGAGUCUGCAACUCGACUCCAUGAAGCAGGAAUCGCUAGUAAUCGUGGAUCAGAAUGCCACGGUGAAUACGUUCUCGGGUCUUGUACUCACCGCCCGUCAAG